GAUGAACGCUGGCGGCGUGCCUAAUACAUGCAAGUCGAGCGAACAGACGAGGAGCUUGCUCCUCUGACGUUAGCGGCGGACGGGUGAGUAACACGUGGAUAACCUACCUAUAAGACUGGGAUAAAUUCGGGAAACCGGAGCUAAUACCGGAUAAUAUAUUGAACCGCAUGGUUCAAUAGUGAAAGACGGUUUUGCUGUCACUUAUAGAUGGAUCCGCGCCGCAUUAGCUAGUUGGUAAGGUAACGGCUUACCAAGGCAACGAUGCGUAGCCGACCUGAGAGGGUGAUCCGCCACACUGGAACUGAGACACGGUCCAGACUCCUACGGGAGGCAGCAGUAGGGAAUCUUCCGCAAUGGGCGAAAGCCUGACGGAGCAACGCCGCGUGAGUGAUGAAGGUCUUCGGAUCGUAAAACUCUGUUAUUAGGGAAGAACAAAUGUGUAAGUAACUAUGCACGUCUUGACGGUACCUAAUCAGAAAGCCACGGCUAACUACGUG
This 497-nucleotide ribosomal RNA is filed under the name uncultured bacterium. RNAcentral describes it as "partial 16S ribosomal RNA". It matches the Rfam family "Bacterial small subunit ribosomal RNA", at positions 28 to 507 of the family's 1533-position model. The record is from RNAcentral.